CCUACGGUGGGCUGCAGUGGGGAAUAUUGGACAAUGGGCGAAAGCCUGAUCCAGCCAUGCCGCGUGUGUGAAGAAGGCCUUCGGGUUGUAAAGCACUUUCAGUGGGGAAGAAAGCCUUGGGGCUAAUACCCUCGAGGAAGGACAUCACCCACAGAAGAAGCACCGGCUAACUCCGUGCCAGCAGCCGCGGUAAUACGGAGGGUGCGAGCGUUAAUCGGAAUUACUGGGCGUAAAGCGCGCGUAGGCGGUCUGAUAAGCCGGUUGUGAAAGCCCCGGGCUCAACCUGGGAACGGCAUCCGGAACUGUCAGGCUAGAGUGCAGGAGAGGAAGGUAGAAUUCCCGGUGUAGCGGUGAAUUGCGUAGAGAUCGGGAGGAAUACCAGUGGCGAAGGCGGCCUUCUGGACUGACACUGACGCUGAGGUGCGAAAGCGUGGGUAGCAAACAGGAUUAGAUACCCUGGUAGUC
This 465-nucleotide ribosomal RNA is filed under the name Vreelandella stevensii. RNAcentral describes it as "partial 16S ribosomal RNA". It matches the Rfam family "Bacterial small subunit ribosomal RNA", at positions 338 to 795 of the family's 1533-position model. The record is from RNAcentral. Lineage: Bacteria; Pseudomonadati; Pseudomonadota; Gammaproteobacteria; Oceanospirillales; Halomonadaceae.